UAGCAGCAGCCGGUGAUUCCAGCACG
RNAcentral lists this non-coding RNA (26 nucleotides) under Mus musculus (house mouse). Lineage: Eukaryota; Metazoa; Chordata; Mammalia; Rodentia; Muridae. The record is from RNAcentral.